This 1041-nucleotide long non-coding RNA is filed under the name Salmo salar (Atlantic salmon). RNAcentral describes it as "lncRNA (ENSSSAG00000091813.1, ENSSSAG00075063052.1)". The record is from RNAcentral. Lineage: Eukaryota; Metazoa; Chordata; Actinopteri; Salmoniformes; Salmonidae.
AUUCAUUGAGAAUCCAUAAUUCGAAGGCAGUUGCUUGCAGUUCCUAUCACUUCCACUGGAUGUCAACAGUCUUUAGAAAUUGGUUGAUGUUUUUCCUUUGUGUAAUGUAGAAGUAGCCCUGUUCAGAAUGAGGCUCAAGGGAAGUAUGCUGUUUGAUAGAGGCGCGUGACCUGAAAAGCAUGCUCCACUUUGUUUUCCUCCGAGGACCUGAGCCCUAGGACCAUGCCUCAGGACUACCUGGCCUGAUGACUCCUUGCAGUCCACCUGGUCGUGCUGCUGCUCCAGUUUCAACUGUUCUGCCUGCGGCUAUGGAACCCUGACCUGUUCACCGGAUGUGCUACCUUGUCCCAGACCUGCUGUUUUCGACUCUCUCUCUACCGCACCUGCUGUCUCUAACUCUGAAUGCUUGGCUAUGAAAAGCCAACUGACAUUUACUACUGAGGGCCAAGAGGACCUGGGCUUGAUGUCCGUGAUCCUCCACAGAGGCGAGGGAUUUCUAAAGUCUUACGGAGGACUUGAGACAGACACCUUGCAAAUUCCAAAGAAAAAAUAACUGCGGUGCUUGGAUCCAGUUGGUUAAACUAGUCAAGGAGGUGGAAGAAAAUCCCACAAUCCCUUGCUCUACCUCCCUCUGCGCUGAACAUCCACACCUGCUCUCAUACAUCAAACAGAUACAAUAUCAGUGGUCUUCCUCUGAGGCCUUUUCAAGGUGCAGUGGAGGUCUUAAACCAUGUGCCAAUCCAUCCUUUCCCUCAGCACAGGGUCAACCAGUGCACCCACCCACCACAACGAGGUAGGAGGGUCCCUCUUCUCACCCUUUCACUCGCUGCAAAUACAUGGCUGCCUCAUUUUCAACCAAUAAAGCACAUGGGGCCUGAGAGCUCAACCAAGCAGCUUGAACCACUGACUAUGGGGCCUGAGAGCUCAACCAAGCAGCUUGAACCACUGACUAUGGGGCCUGAGAGCUCAACCAAGCAGCUUGAACCACUGACUAUGGGGCCUGAGAGCUCAACCAAGCAGCUUGAACCACUGACUAUGGGG